Molecule: ribosomal RNA, 495 nt
Filed under: Triticum aestivum (bread wheat)
Lineage: Eukaryota; Viridiplantae; Streptophyta; Magnoliopsida; Poales; Poaceae
Description: partial small subunit ribosomal RNA
Source: RNAcentral
AUGGCGGCGGGGAUGAGGAGGAGGGCCAACAAGGGAGGUUACCUGGCGGCGCCGUCGGGGUGUUCCUCGGCGUCGCCUCCUCUAGGCGUGCGGGGUGGGGAUGGCUGCUUCGAACAAACAUUACAACGUGUCUAUAAUAGAUGCGUCGAGGAUGAGUAUGAUGAUUUUGGUGAUGCUCCCAGAAGGAAGAGCAAAGAUACAGGUGAGGAGGGGAAGAGCACCCAUAGGCACAUCUUAACCCAGAAAGAGCAUUGUUUGUACUGUUUCGAGAACCCAUCCAUGCCAAAGCAUUUGGUUGUAGCUGUAGGAAACUUUGCUUACCUGAUGCUGCCUCAGUUUGAGCCUGUUGUUCCAGGGCACUGUCUUAUUCUACCGUUGCAGCACGAGUCUGCAACUAGAGCAACUGACAGCGGAGGAGAUUCGCAACUUCAAAAAGUGCCUCCUGUCAGUUGCUCCUUUUGUGGUUGGAAGAUGCAACUAGAGCAACUCGACUAG